ACUCCUACGGGAGGCAGCAGUGGGGAAUAUUGCACAAUGGGCGGAAGCCUGAUGCAGCAACGCCGCGUGCGGGAUGACGGCCUUCGGGUUGUAAACCGCUUUCGCCUGUGACGAAGCGUGAGUGACGGUAAUGGGUAAAGAAGCACCGGCUAACUACGUGCCAGCAGCCGCGGUGAUACGUAGGGUGCGAGCGUUGUCCGGAUUUAUUGGGCGUAAAGGGCUCGUAGGUGGUUGAUCGCGUCGGAAGUGUAAUCUUGGGGCUUAACCCUGAGCGUGCUUUCGAUACGGGUUGACUUGAGGAAGGUAGGGGAGAAUGGAAUUCCUGGUGGAGCGGUGGAAUGCGCAGAUAUCAGGAGGAACACCAGUGGCGAAGGCGGUUCUCUGGGCCUUUCCUGACGCUGAGGAGCGAAAGCGUGGGGAGCGAACAGGCUUAGAUACCCCGGUAGUCCCAUGA
Molecule: ribosomal RNA, 454 nt
Filed under: uncultured organism
Description: partial 16S ribosomal RNA
Rfam family: Bacterial small subunit ribosomal RNA
Source: RNAcentral